CACGUAGGGCGCAAGCGUUGUCCGGAAUUAUUGGGCGUAAAGAGCUCGUAGGCGGUCUGUUGCGUCCGCUGUGAAAACUCGGGGCUUAACCCCGAGCCUGCAGUGGAUACGGGCAGACUAGAGGUAGGUAGGGGAGAAUGGAAUUCCCGGUGUAGCGGUGAAAUGCGCAGAGAUCGUAAGGAAGACCAGUGGCGAAGGCGGGUCUCUGGACAGUUCCUGACGCUGAGGCACGAAGGCCAGGGGAGCAAACGGG
RNAcentral lists this ribosomal RNA (253 nucleotides) under uncultured bacterium. RNAcentral's name for it is "partial 16S ribosomal RNA". It matches the Rfam family "Bacterial small subunit ribosomal RNA", at positions 524 to 776 of the family's 1533-position model. The record is from RNAcentral.